CUGGGAACUUCCACAGGCCUUGGGUGCCUGUGUUGGAAGGGAUGGCGACGGUGGUCAGAAAGCAGGUUGGGCAUCUGCUCAGUGUAGCGUGUGAAGUCCCCUGGGCCUGCAGGUGCCAGACAGGCUGGUUUUCCUGGUGCUCAGCUUCUUAUUCUGGGCCUCUCGGGGCUGGGGACACCACGGGCAGGGCCGUGUCACCCAAAAGCUCGAGGCCCAGCCUGGGGCACAAAGGGAGGUCAAGGGCCCACCCAGCCUAUAGCCCCUGGGCUGGCACCUUAUGGAAAACGGCCCUUUUCCGUGGGGGCCUCCUGCUGGUUUGCACAGAUGCCUUGUCCUUUAAAGUGGGACAUGGCUUACUUCGUCAUCGUGCAAGUCAGUCAGGGUACGUGGGUCCCCAGGCGGUGACCCUGGGCUCCGUCCCUUUGCGUUGUAAGCGAGCUCACUCACCGACCAUCAUCAGCAACGUGGGGGAAGCGGCGCCAGGGGACAGGUUCGGGGUUUCUCCUCUUGGAAACAUGCCAGGCAAGGAGCAGCUGUGCUGGGAGGGACGGGGUCACUGUCUCCUGCCGCAGAGAACGUCACAAGUGACACUGUUGCUUACGGUCUGCCCGUGUUUCUUGCUCCAGAACCACGAGGCUGCCCUGAGGUUCUCGGUCACUCUGCGGGGAUGUCAGAGAGCCCCGCUGGACCCAAACCCGCGAUGCUCCGGGCCGACAUGCCCGCGGCGCCCUCCUUCCAGCGGGCGUUCACGUCCUCCUGCACGAUUUCUGGCAACAGCUCCGGCCAGCGGAGGGAGAGCCCUUCCUCGGCCGAGCACCAGUGGGUGGAGAGCAGCCCCAAGUCCACGCUGGCCCUGCUGGGGGGCAGCCGGCCUGCAGGGAGCCUCCUCGGCGCCAGCGAGUUCUCCGGGCCUGGCAAGGACGGCCCCGGGCGGCCCCCCUUCCCGCCUGCCGAGCUCCAGACGUCCUUCCACGGCCACGAGCUGUCCCUGGUGGAGCCGCCCGAAGCCCUGGGCCCCCCGAGCAGCCAGGCCUUCCUGAGCUUCAGCACAGCCCCCUCGGGAGGUGGCCUCGCCCCCAGGGAGGAUUCUGGGGCCUUGCUGGCCAAUUCCCACGGGGCGUCCCCCGCCCCCGGCCCCCCGCGGACAGCAGCUGAGGCCACCGACAAUGGCUUCCUGUCCCACAACUUUCUCACGGUGGCGCCUGGACACAGCGGCCACCACAGCCCGGUCCUGCAGGGCCCGGGGAUGACCCUGCCCGGGCAGCCGCCCCUUCCCGAGAAGAAGAGGGCCUCGGAGGGAGACCGUUCCUUCGGCUCCGUCUCCCCGUCCUCCAGCGGCUUCUCCAGCCCUCACAGCGGGAGCACCAUGAGCAUCCCUUUCCCCAACGUCCUCCCGGACUUUUCCAAGGCUGCAGAGGCAGCAGCACCGUCCCCAGGUAGGUGCGUCUCCGCCGCGGGAGGCUCUCCUCCUGCACCCGGGAGGG
Molecule: long non-coding RNA, 1484 nt
Filed under: Sus scrofa (pig)
Lineage: Eukaryota; Metazoa; Chordata; Mammalia; Artiodactyla; Suidae
Description: lncRNA (ENSSSCG00050063599.1)
Source: RNAcentral